Peptostreptococcaceae bacterium AS15 is the source of this 65-nucleotide regulatory RNA element. It matches the Rfam family "pemK RNA". The record is from Rfam. Lineage: Bacteria; Bacillati; Bacillota; Clostridia; Peptostreptococcales; Peptostreptococcaceae.
AUAAUGAUACUUCAAUAGUUUUAUGCCGGCUCAUCUUAAAAGGGGCGGUGGUGAGAAUCCAAUGU